UACGUAGGGGGCAAGCGUUGUCCGGAAUCAUUGGGCGUAAAGAGCGUGUAGGCGGCUCGGUAAGUCCGCUCUGAAAGCCCGGGGCUCAACCCCGGGAGGCGGGCGGAUACUGUCGGGCUAGAGUCCGGAAGGGGCGAGUGGAAUUCCUGGUGUAGCGGUGAAAUGCGCAGAUAUCAGGAGGAACACCAAUGGCGAAGGCAGCUCGCUGGGACGGUACUGACGCUGAGACGCGAAAGCGUGGGGAGCAAACAGG
Molecule: ribosomal RNA, 253 nt
Filed under: uncultured bacterium
Lineage: Bacteria
Description: partial 16S ribosomal RNA
Rfam family: Bacterial small subunit ribosomal RNA
Source: RNAcentral